Non-coding RNA from Vicia faba (fava bean), 354 nucleotides. Lineage: Eukaryota; Viridiplantae; Streptophyta; Magnoliopsida; Fabales; Fabaceae. The record is from the annotation of a GenBank genome assembly.
CGGUUAGAACAACAACGUAGAACAUAUGACUAUACUCAUGUCGUGUGUAUUUACAUUUUACUACAAAUUUUUUAUACAUAUUUUCGCCGACACAGACACACCACCACACUCAACACACAAUGCACACACUAUUCUGCUUGCUUGCUCCUUUUUAAUUUCAUUCUCUCUCUCUCUUCAUUACUCCAAGCUUCGAAUCUCUAUCUGUCUCUUUCUUUAAUGGCUUUCCAUUCUACAACCAGUCACCAUCUCAAACCCAACUACUCCUCUUCUUCCUCUUCAUCUUCUUUGUCCUCUCUUAUUCCUCCAUGUUUCUCUUGCAUGUACUCUUCUUCCUUACCUGAAUCACACUUUUGA